AACGAACGCUGGCGGCAUGCCUAACACAUGCAAGUCGAACGAGACCUUCGGGUCUAGUGUCGCACGGGUGCGUAACGCGUGGGAACCUGCCCUUAGGUUCGGAAUAACUCCCCGAAAGGGGUGCUAAUACCGGAUAAUGUCUUCGGACCAAAGAUUUAUCGCCUUUGGAUGGGCCCGCGUUGGAUUAGCUAGUUGGUAGGGUAAAAGCCUACCAAGGCGACGAUCCAUAGCUGGUCUGAGAGGAUGAUCAGCCACACUGGGACUGAGGCACGGCCCAGACUCCUACGGGAGGCAGCAGUGGGGAAUAUUGGACAGUGGGCGAAAGCCUGAUCCAGCAAUGCCGCGUGAGUGAUGAAGGCCUUAGGGUUGUAAAGCUCUUUUACCCGGGAUGAUAAUGACAGUACCGGGAGAAUAAGCUCCGGCUAACUCCGUG
This 433-nucleotide ribosomal RNA is filed under the name uncultured bacterium. RNAcentral describes it as "partial 16S ribosomal RNA". It matches the Rfam family "Bacterial small subunit ribosomal RNA", at positions 29 to 507 of the family's 1533-position model. The record is from RNAcentral.